UUGGGGAAGGCCCUUGAGGCUGAAGUACAUGAUUCCAUGCUUCCAAGAAAAGCAUCUAGAGAGAGAAGUAGUGCCCGUACCGCAAACCGACACAGGUAGAUGAGGAGAGAAUCCUAAGGCCGGCGGAAGAAUUGCAGUUAAGGAACUAGGCAAAUUAACCCCGUAAGUUAGCGAGAAGGGGUGCCUGCGAGAGCAGGCCGCAGAGAAUAGGCCCAAGCAACUGUUUAGCAAAAACACAGGUCUCUGCUAAAGCGCAAGCUGAUGUAUAGGGGCUGACGCCUGCCCGGUGCUGGAAGGUUAAGGGGAACACUUAGCGCAAGCGAAGGUGUGAACUUAAGCCCCAGUAAACGGCGGCCGUAACUAUAACGGUCCUAAGGUGGCGAAAUUCCUUGUCAGGUAAGUUCUGACCCGCACGAAUGGCGUAAUGACUUGGGCACAGUCUCAACUGCAAAUCCGGCGAAGUUGUAGUGCGAGUGAAGAUGCUCGCUACCCGCGAUUGGACGGAAAGACCCCGUAGAGCUUUACUGUAGCUUAGCAUUGAAUUCCGGUAUUGUCUGUACAGGAUAGGUGGGAGACUAGGAAACUAGGGCGUCAGCCUUAGUGGAGUCGUCCUUGGGAUACCACCCUGACAGUACUGGGGUUCUAACAGGACGCCAUGAAUCUGGUGACUGGACAUUGUUAGGUGGGCAGUUUGACUGGGGCGGUCGCCUCCUAAAAAGUAACGGAGGCGCCCAAAGGUUCCCUCAGAACGGUCGGAAAUCGUUCGUAGAGUGCAAAGGCAGAAGGGAGCCUGACUGCGAGACCUACAAGUCGAGCAGGGACGAAAGUCGGGCUUAGUGAUCCGGUGGUACCUCGUGGGAGGGCCAUCGCUCAACGGAUAAAAGCUACCUCGGGGAUAACAGGCUGAUCUCCCCCAAGAGUCCACAUCGACGGGGAGGUUUGGCACCUCGAUGUCGGCUCGUCGCAUCCUGGGGCUGUAGUAGGUCCCGAGGGUUGGGCUGUUCGCCCAUUAAAGCGGCACGCGAGCUGGGUUCAGAACGUCGUGAGACAGUUCGGUCCCUAUCCGUCGCGGGCGUAGGAAAUUUGAGAGGAGCUGUCCUUAGUACGAGAGGACCGGGAUGGACUGACCUCUGGUGCACCAGUUGUUCUGCCAAGAGCAUGGCUGGGUAGCUAAGUCGGGAAGGGAUAAACGCUGAAAGCAUCUAAGCGUGAAGCCUCCCUCAAGAUGAGAUUUCCCAUAGCAUAAGCUAGUAAGACCCCUUGAAGAACACGGGGUUGAUAGGUCAGAGGUGUAAGUGUGGUAACAUAUUUAGCUGACUGAUACUAAUAGGUCGAGGGCUUGACCG
Molecule: ribosomal RNA, 1346 nt
Filed under: metagenome
Description: bacterial LSU rRNA
Rfam family: Bacterial large subunit ribosomal RNA
Source: RNAcentral